This 1624-nucleotide non-coding RNA is filed under the name Saccharomyces cerevisiae (brewer's yeast). RNAcentral describes it as "ribosomal RNA". It matches the Rfam family "Bacterial small subunit ribosomal RNA". The record is from RNAcentral. Lineage: Eukaryota; Fungi; Ascomycota; Saccharomycetes; Saccharomycetales; Saccharomycetaceae.
UUUUAUAAGAAUAUGAUGUUGGUUCAGAUUAAGCGCUAAAUAAGGACAUGACACAUGCGAAUCAUACGUUUAUUAUUGAUAAGAUAAUAAAUAUGUGGUGUAAACGUGAGUAAUUUUAUUAGGAAUUAAUGAACUAUAGAAUAAGCUAAAUACUUAAUAUAUUAUUAUAUAAAAAUAAUUUAUAUAAUAAAAAGGAUAUAUAUAUAAUAUAUAUUUAUCUAUAGUCAAGCCAAUAAUGGUUUAGGUAGUAGGUUUAUUAAGAGUUAAACCUAGCCAACGAUCCAUAAUCGAUAAUGAAAGUUAGAACGAUCACGUUGACUCUGAAAUAUAGUCAAUAUCUAUAAGAUACAGCAGUGAGGAAUAUUGGACAAUGAUCGAAAGAUUGAUCCAGUUACUUAUUAGGAUGAUAUAUAAAAAUAUUUUAUUUUAUUUAUAAAUAUUAAAUAUUUAUAAUAAUAAUAAUAAUAAUAUAUAUAUAUAAAUUGAUUAAAAAUAAAAUCCAUAAAUAAUUAAAAUAAUGAUAUUAAUUACCAUAUAUAUUUUAUAUGGAUAUAUAUAUUAAUAAUAAUAUUAAUUUAUUAUUAUUAAUAAUAUAUUUUAAUAGUCCUGACUAAUAUUUGUGCCAGCAGUCGCGGUAACACAAAGAGGGCGAGCGUUAAUCAUAAUGGUUUAAAGGAUCCGUAGAAUGAAUUAUAUAUUAUAAUUUAGAGUUAAUAAAAUUAAUUAAAGAAUUAUAAUAGUAAAGAUGAAAUAAUAAUAAUAAUUAUAAGACUAAUAUAUGUGAAAAUAUUAAUUAAAUAUUAACUGACAUUGAGGGAUUAAAACUAGAGUAGCGAAACGGAUUCGAUACCCGUGUAGUUCUAGUAGUAAACUAUGAAUACAAUUAUUUAUAAUAUAUAUUAUAUAUAAAUAAUAAAUGAAAAUGAAAGUAUUCCACCUGAAGAGUACGUUAGCAAUAAUGAAACUCAAAACAAUAGACGGUUACAGACUUAAGCAGUGGAGCAUGUUAUUUAAUUCGAUAAUCCACGACUAACCUUACCAUAUUUUGAAUAUUAUAAUAAUUAUUAUAAUUAUUAUAUUACAGGCGUUACAUUGUUGUCUUUAGUUCGUGCUGCAAAGUUUUAGAUUAAGUUCAUAAACGAACAAAACUCCAUAUAUAUAAUUUUAAUUAUAUAUAAUUUUAUAUUAUUUAUUAAUAUAAAGAAAGGAAUUAAGACAAAUCAUAAUGAUCCUUAUAAUAUGGGUAAUAGACGUGCUAUAAUAAAAUGAUAAUAAAAUUAUAUAAAAUAUAUUUAAUUAUAUUUAAUUAAUAAUAUAAAACAUUUUAAUUUUUAAUAUAUUUUUUUAUUAUAUAUUAAUAUGAAUUAUAAUCUGAAAUUCGAUUAUAUGAAAAAAGAAUUGCUAGUAAUACGUAAAUUAGUAUGUUACGGUGAAUAUUCUAACUGUUUCGCACUAAUCACUCAUCACGCGUUGAAACAUAUUAUUAUCUUAUUAUUUAUAUAAUAUUUUUUAAUAAAUAUUAAUAAUUAUUAAUUUAUAUUUAUUUAUAUCAGAAAUAAUAUGAAUUAAUGCGAAGUUGAAAUACAGUUACCGUAGGGGAACCUGCGGUGGGCUUAUAAAUAUC